This 246-nucleotide ribosomal RNA is filed under the name uncultured bacterium. RNAcentral's name for it is "partial small subunit ribosomal RNA". It matches the Rfam family "Bacterial small subunit ribosomal RNA", at positions 26 to 285 of the family's 1533-position model. The record is from RNAcentral.
AGGACGAACGCUGGCGGCGUGCUUAACACAUGCAAGUCGCACGAGAAAGGGACUUCGGUCCUGAGUAAAGUGGCGCACGGGUGAGUAACACGUGACUAACCUACCCUUGAGCGGGGGAUAACCGUCGGGAAACCGGGGCUAAUACCGCAUAAUAUCGAGAGAUCAAAGGAGCAAUUCGCUUAAGGAGGGGGUCGCGGCUGAUUAGCUAGUUGGUGAGGUAAUGGCUCACCAAGGCUAUGAUCAGUA